This 464-nucleotide ribosomal RNA is filed under the name uncultured bacterium. RNAcentral describes it as "partial 16S ribosomal RNA". It matches the Rfam family "Bacterial small subunit ribosomal RNA", at positions 29 to 506 of the family's 1533-position model. The record is from RNAcentral.
AUGAACGCUGGCGGCGUGCUUCACCCCUGCCAGUCGCACGGAAAGGCUCCUGCUUGCAGGGGUACUCGAGUGGCGAACGGGUGAGUAACACGUGGGUGAUCUGCCCUGCACUUCGGGAUAAGCCUGGGAAACUGGGUCUAAUACCGGAUAGGACGAUGGUUUGGAUGCCAUUGUGGAAAGUUUUUUCGGUGUGGGAUGAGCUCGCGGCCUAUCAGCUUGUUGGUGGGGUAAUGGCCUACCAAGGCGUCGACGGGUAGCCGGCCUGAGAGGGUGUACGGCCAAAUGGGGACUGGGAGACGGCCCAGGCUCCUACGGGGGGGAGGGGGGGGGAAUAUUGCACAAGGGGCGCAAGCCGGAGGGAGGGACGCCGGGUGGGGGAAGGCGGCCUUGGGGUUGUAAACUCCUUUCGCUAGGGACGAAGCGCAAGUGACGGUACCGGGGAAAGAAGCACCGGCUAACUAGGU